This 227-nucleotide long non-coding RNA is filed under the name Malus domestica (apple). RNAcentral describes it as "long non-coding RNA (MDOM_LNC008694)". The record is from RNAcentral. Lineage: Eukaryota; Viridiplantae; Streptophyta; Magnoliopsida; Rosales; Rosaceae.
CCAUGUCCUGCAGGUUAGAACAAAGACAAGGAAAAAAACAUGGAGAAUGUAUGAUAUGAGAUACUCUUGCUUUCAACCUUUAUGAUAUGAAAUACUUUUGCUCUGGAUGGGUUGUUUGCAGGGGUAUCCCAGGGAAUGAGAAAUACAGAGUGACUUGAGAGGGUGUGUUGGAAAUACAUUCUCGGAGAUGAAGAAGUGCUGAGAGGGUGUGCCUUUGCUGUGGAAGG